This is a non-coding RNA of Monodelphis domestica (gray short-tailed opossum), 2515 nucleotides long. Lineage: Eukaryota; Metazoa; Chordata; Mammalia; Didelphimorphia; Didelphidae. The record is from RefSeq and is a predicted model, not a curated record.
GCUGCGGCUGGAUUCACCCAAUUAGCCCAGCAGAUAACAAUGACAAAGGCUCCUUCUCUCCCUAACUCCCCCAACCCCCACCUCCCUUAGAGAUACAAACUCUGGAGGGGGAGGUGUGGUGGUGGAACCAAUCGAUCUGUGAUUGAGCGCGUGGCCCAGUCGGGUCCUACCCAGAACCUGACUGCCACCGCUGUGGAAGAAGGCAGCUCCCAGGGUGCUGCAUUCAUCAGAAUUGCUGAGCUGAUCACAUGGUUUUCUUCCUGCCUUCCCCGUUAGCUGCUCCUUGUCAGCAGCUGGCGGAGCCCGAGGCCGUAGGCCAGUGUCUGCAGAAAACCUUUCCCGGCCCUACGUUGCAAAACGCCAGCCUCCUGCUCGCGCUCCCACACCCGCGCCGCCGCCAGCCCGCCUCGCUAACUAAAUGGUUUUCCUCCGUGCCAGGGAGAUUACCGUGGAUCCCAAGGAAGCUGCCUUCUACUAGGCCAUGUUUGCAUUUGAAGAAUUCAGUGAACAGAGUAUUUGCCAAGCCCGGGCUUCCGUGAUGGUCUACGAUGACACCAGUAAGAAAUGGGUGCCAAUCAAACCAGGACAGCAGGGAUUCAGCCGGGUCAACAUCUACCACAAUAAUGCCAGCAAUACCUUUAGAGUCGUGGGUGUUAAGCUUCAAGAUCAACAGGUCGUGAUCAAUUAUUCAAUUGUGAAAGGGCUGAAGUAUAAUCAGGCUACGCCAACAUUUCACCAGUGGCGAGAUGCCCGGCAGGUCUAUGGCUUGAAUUUCGCCAGCAAGGAAGAAGCGACCACCUUCUCUAAUGCAAUGCUCUUUGCUCUGAACAUCAUGAAUUCCCAAGAUGGAGGCCCCCCCUCUCAGCGCCAGGUGCAGAAUGGCCCUUCUCCUGAUGAGAUGGAAGUCCAGAGAAGGCAAGUGAUGGAACAACAGCAACAACGACAGGAGUCCUUGGAGAGAAGAACCUCAACUCCAGGUCCCAUCCUCCCCCCAGGACACCCCUCGUCCACAGCCACUGCCCCUGUACCUUCAGGAGGGCCACCCCCACCCCCACCCCCACCAGUGCCCCCUCCACUCACAGGGGCAGCACCACCGCCACCGCCACCGCCACUGCCAGUAAGUGGGGUGCAAAGCGCCAUCCAUGACGAUGCUUCAGUAUCUGGACUUGCAGCAGCACUGGCUGGUGCAAAACUACGGAGAGUCCAGCGGCCAGAAGAUGGCUCCGGAGUUUCCAGUCCCAGUGGAACUUCAAAGUCAGAAGCCAACCGGACGAGCAGUGGUGGUGGCGGGGGAGGCCUCAUGGAGGAAAUGAACAAAUUGCUGGCCAAGAGGAGAAAAGCAGCUUCCCAGACUGACAAGCCAGCAGAUAGAAAGGAAGAUGAAAGCCAAACUGAAGAAUCUAGCACCUCUCCUUCCCCAGGGUCCCGAGGGGCUGGACAGCCACCAAAUGCCUCAGAUCCUGGAAAGAAGCCCUGGGAGAGGAGCAAUUCUGUGGAGAAACCUGUAGCCUCAUUACUUUCCAGAACCCCGUCAUCGGCGAAGAGCCCCGAAGCUAAGAGUCCCAUUCAGUCACAGCCACACACUAGGAUGAAGCCUGCUGGUAGUGGCAAUGAAGGUGCUCUCGAUGCCUUAGAUUUUGACCGGAUGAAACAGGAAAUACUGGAGGAAGUAGUCAGAGAGCUACACAAAGUCAAAGAGGAGAUCAUUGAUGCUUCUCAUUUUAUUGUUGAAGAGACUGAGAAAUAAAGGUUUAAUGAAGGAGGGAAGCAAUCUAGCUGGCGAGGUGGACAUAUCAAAGAGUAAGGAACACCACCUGAGUUCAAUAAGGACCCAAAGAAGCCAUCAGGCAGGAGCUGAGCCGGAUCAGCACGACAUAGUGAUGGGCCAGCCUCAAACUAGCCCCGGGGCUUUCCAGCCUGGUCCAGGACUCUAGGAAGACUGAAUCAACUCACAGGGCACUGAAGUGCUCCGAGGGCACUUCUCACCCUACCCCCACCCCACCCUACCCUCUACUCCUUGGUCCAGAAUCCCUUUUUAUUAGCAGACACAGCAUACAGUGAAGCUUUGCUGUCUGAGAUUCACUUCAUUUAAAAAGUCUUAACCUAAAGGAAAAAAAAAAUUUUUUAAGAGGAUUUAAAAUUCCUGGAUUUUCUCUAGCCCACCUGACACUGCCCAUUUGGUUGUUUGUUGCCUUUUUUUGUAUUUUGUAUUUGCUUAUCUAAGUGUAGGAUGUUUCUUUUUAGUGGUAGAGAGGACAGCAGGAACCAUUUGCUUCCUAGGUGACAGAAGGGCCCUGAGGCCAGCCAUCAGCAAGUGAGGACCAUCUACCAACCGUCAGGGGACAGUUGUCAUGUGGGGGGAGGGGGGAGCCCCACCGGGAAACACAAAGGCAGAGGCACUUGGGGCAUGGGAUGAGUGGGUGGAUUCCAGGGUCUCACAAUAUACAAACGGUACGUCAGUGCGCCACAGUGUCUGUGUUCAUGUGGGUAAUAAACUGUUUACUGUCCACCCGGA